AGUGGCGGACGGGUGAGUAACGCGUGGGUAACCUGCCUCAUACAGGGGGAUAACAGUUAGAAAUGACUGCUAAUACCGCAUAAGCGCACAGUACCGCAUGGUACGGUGUGAAAAACUCCGGUGGUAUGAGAUGGACCCGCGUCUGAUUAGCUAGUUGGUGAGGUAAUGGCUCACCAAGGCAACGAUCAGUAGCCGGCUUGAGAGAGUGAACGGCCACAUUGGGACUGAGACACGGCCCAAACUCCUACGGGAGGCAGCAGUGGGGAAUAUUGCACAAUGGGGGAAACCCUGAUGCAGCGACGCCGCGUGAGUGAAGAAGUAUUUCGGUAUGUAAAGCUCUAUCAGCAGGGAAGAUAAUGACGGUACCUGACUAAGAAGCCCCGGCUAACUACGUGCCAGCAGCCGCGGUAAUACGUAGGGGGCAAGCGUUAUCCGGAUUUACUGGGUGUAAAGGGAGCGUAGGCGGUCCGAUAAGUCUGGUGUGAAAGCCCGGGGCUCAACUCCGGGACUGCAUUGGAAACUAUCGGACUUGAGUGUCGGAGAGGUAAGUGGAAUUCCUAGUGUAGCGGUGAAAUGCGUAGAUAUUAGGAGGAACACCAGUGGCGAAGGCGACUUACUGGACGAUAACUGACGCUGAGGCUCGAAAGCGUGGGGAGCGAACAGGAUUAGAUACCCUGGUAGUCCACGCC
Molecule: ribosomal RNA, 689 nt
Filed under: uncultured bacterium
Lineage: Bacteria
Description: bacterial SSU rRNA
Rfam family: Bacterial small subunit ribosomal RNA
Source: RNAcentral